This 442-nucleotide ribosomal RNA is filed under the name uncultured bacterium. RNAcentral describes it as "partial 16S ribosomal RNA". It matches the Rfam family "Bacterial small subunit ribosomal RNA", at positions 338 to 795 of the family's 1533-position model. The record is from RNAcentral.
CCUACGGGUGGCAGCAGUAGGGAAUCUUUCACAAUGGGCGAAAGCCUGAUGGAGCAACGCCGCGUGCAGGAUGAAGGCCUUCGGGUUGUAAACCGCUUUUAUAAGCGAGAAAUAUGAUGGUAACUUAUGAAUAAUGAUCGUCUAACUAUGUGCCAGCAGCCGCGGUCAUACGUAGGAUCCGAGCAUUAUCCGGAGUGACUGGGGGUAAAGAGUUGCGUAGGUGGCAUAAUAAGUAGCUAGGGAAAUCUGGUGGCUCAACCAUUCAGACUAUUAGCGAAACUGUGAAGCUCGAGACCGUUAGGGGUAACGGGAAUGUCUAGUGUAGGAGUGAAAUCCGUAGAUAUUAGAAGGAACACCAAUAGCGUAGGCAGGUUGCUGGGACGGUUCUGACGCUGAGGCACGAAAGCGUAGGGAGCAAACGGGAUUAGAUACCCUUGUAGUC